RNAcentral lists this ribosomal RNA (492 nucleotides) under uncultured bacterium. RNAcentral's name for it is "partial 16S ribosomal RNA". It matches the Rfam family "Bacterial small subunit ribosomal RNA", at positions 29 to 507 of the family's 1533-position model. The record is from RNAcentral.
AGUGAACGCUGGCGGUAGGCCUAACACAUGCAAGUCGAACGGCAGCACAGUAAGAUCUUGCUCUUACGGGUGGCGAGUGGCGGACGGGUGAGGAAUACAUCGGAAUCUACUUUUUCGUGGGGGAUAACGUAGGGAAACUUACGCUAAUACCGCAUACGAUCUACGGGUGAAAGCAGGGGAUCUUCGCACCUUGCGCGAUUGAAUGAGCCGAUGUCGGAUUAGCUAGUUGGCGGGGUAAAGGCCCACCAAGGCGACGAUCCGUAGCUGGUCUGAGAGGAUGAUCAGCCACACUGGAACUGAGACACGGUCCAGACUCCUACGGGAGGCAGCAGUGGGGAAUAUUGGACAAUGGGCGCAAGCCUGAUCCAGCCAUACCGCGUGGGUGAAGAAGGCCUUCGGGUUGUAAAGCCCUUUUGUUGGGAAAGAAAAGCAGCAGGUUAAUACCCCGCUGUUCUGACGGUACCCAAAGAAUAAGCACCGGCUAACUUCGUG